AACGAACGCUGGCGGCGUGGAUAAGACAUGCAAGUCGAACGGGAUAUUUUUGGUAGCAAUAUCAAAAAUGUCUAGUGGCGUAAGGGUGCGUAACACGUGGGCAACCUGCCCGGAAGUGGGGGAUAGCUCGCCGAAAGGCGAAUUAAUACCGCAUGUGGUGAGUGAAGUCAUCUUCGCGAAACCAAAGUCGGGGCAACCUGACGCUUCUGGAUGGGCCCGCGGCCUAUCAGCUAGUUGGUGAGGUAACGGCUCACCAAGGCUAUGACGGGUAGCUGGUCUGAGAGGACGACCAGCCACACUGGAACUGAGACACGGUCCAGACACCUACGGGUGGCAGCAGUCGAGAAUUUUUCUCAAUGGGGGAAACCCUGAAGGAGCGACGCCGCGUGGAGGAUGAAGGUUUUCGGAUUGUAAACUCCUGUCAUUAGGGAACAAUGUGCAGAUGUUAACUGCGUCUGCAUUGAUAGUACCUGAAGAGGAAGAGACGGCUAACUCUGUGCCAGCAGCCGCAGUAACAC
RNAcentral lists this ribosomal RNA (518 nucleotides) under uncultured bacterium. RNAcentral describes it as "bacterial SSU rRNA". It matches the Rfam family "Bacterial small subunit ribosomal RNA", at positions 29 to 526 of the family's 1533-position model. The record is from RNAcentral.